Molecule: ribosomal RNA, 301 nt
Filed under: uncultured bacterium
Lineage: Bacteria
Description: partial 16S ribosomal RNA
Rfam family: Bacterial small subunit ribosomal RNA
Source: RNAcentral
CAGCAGCCGCGGUAAUACGAGGGGGGCAAGCGUUGUUCGGAAUUAUUGGGCGUAAAGGGUGCGUAGGUGGUUAAUUAAGUUAUCUGUGAAAUUCCUGGGCUUAACCUGGGCGUGUCAGAUGAUACUGAUUGACUCGAGUAUGGGAGAGGGUAGUGGAAUUUCCGGUGUAGCGGUGAAAUGCGUAGAGAUCGGAAGGAACACCAGUGGCGAAGGCGGCUACCUGGCCUAAUACUGACACUGAGGCACGAAAGCGUGGGGAGCAAACAGGAUUAGAUACCCGAGUAGUCCCUGUCUCUUAUAC